UACGUAGGGACCAAGCGUUGUUCGGAUUUACUGGGCGUAAAGGGCGCGUAGGCGGCGUGGUAAGUCACUUGUGAAAUCUCUGAGCUUAACUCAGAACGGCCAAGUGAUACUGCUGUGCUAGAGUGCAGAAGGGGCAAUCGGAAUUCUUGGUGUAGCGGUGAAAUGCGUAGAUAUCAAGGGGAACACCUGAGGUGAAGACGGGUUGCCGGGCUGACACUGACGCUGAGGCGCGAAAGCCAGGGGAGCAAACGGG
Molecule: ribosomal RNA, 253 nt
Filed under: uncultured bacterium
Lineage: Bacteria
Description: partial 16S ribosomal RNA
Rfam family: Bacterial small subunit ribosomal RNA
Source: RNAcentral